AAAAUAUUUUCUGGAAAGUAAUGCUGACAGGUGAUAUGCUUUUAAAGAAUGGCUUCUUACUAGCCAUGAGUGUUUCUGGGAGUGCUCCCAAGAAGCAGAGAAAAGUCGUGACAUUACAAUAAAAAGUUCAAUUACUUGAUAUGUAUCAUAGAUUGAGGUUUGCAGCUGCAGUGGCCACCAUUUCAAACAGAUUAUUUAUCUUGUAAACAGAUGACAUAAACUUACAGCAUCAAUGAAUAAAGUGUAGUUCUGUACAUUUAUUUUUCUUCCUUAUGAUUUUCUAACAUGUUCUUUAUCUUUAUUGUAGGAAUACAGUAUAUAAUACAUAUGACAUAGAAAAUGUGUUCAUCAACUGUUUGUUAUUAGUGAGGUUUCCAGUCCACAGCAGACUAAUAGUAAUUACAUUUUGGGGGAGUUAAAAGUUACAUGAGGAUUUUUUAUGGCAGGGGCUGGAAACCCCAACCCCUUCAUUGUUCAAGGGUUGGUUGUAAUCGUUUUGAAAAUGAAAAGUACAUUCUUUGAAAUGACCAUAUAGAAAGAUCCAAGCUGGAACCUGCAAAACAAAGGUUGGAACUGGAAUUUUAUGAUUCAAUAUAGGCUUUCUGAUGAUUAAGAAAAUUUAAUCUAUGUUAUCUUCUUACAUGUCUUAUGACAAAUGAAAAGUAGCAUGUAUUGUUUUUAUGCUAGGAAGCUUUAAAAGUGUUAUUGUUUGGCUCCGUUUGAGAUCUUUUCAGUUGCCCCUUUAAAAGUAGCUGACUUAGAAAGUGCUCAGGUAAUGUCAGUGUCAGUUUUCUGAUGAGCUACCAAGCGCUGAUGUGCUCCUGAGUGAGGGCACAACCGUGUUUGAGUGAGAGUCUCAGCUGAGUGGACAGGUGGCCAUUUGGCUAGGUAACAGUAGGGCUGUCUCUACAGAAAAAUUCACAAGUAAAGCUGAUGACAGAAGUAGAAAUGAAUCCUUUAUUGGCGUGAGGUAGGUAGAUUCAAUCACAGUUAAUUAAGGAUGACAGAAAAGA
Molecule: long non-coding RNA, 1013 nt
Filed under: Pan troglodytes (chimpanzee)
Lineage: Eukaryota; Metazoa; Chordata; Mammalia; Primates; Hominidae
Description: long non-coding RNA NONPTRT013708
Source: RNAcentral